Molecule: non-coding RNA, 85 nt
Filed under: Clostridioides difficile
Lineage: Bacteria; Bacillati; Bacillota; Clostridia; Peptostreptococcales; Peptostreptococcaceae
Source: RNAcentral
GAACGCCGUAUGAGGUGAAAGUCUCACGUACGGUGUGGAACAGGGGAAAAGACGGAGAUAACAUCAAACUCUUACCUAUUGUUAU